UGGGGAAUUUUGGACAAUGGGCGAAAGCCUGAUCCAGCAAUGCCGCGUGUGUGAAGAAGGCCUUCGGGUUGUAAAGCACUUUUGUCCGGAAAGAAAUCCUUGGCUCUAAUACAGUCGGGGGAUGACGGUACCGGAAGAAUAAGCACCGGCUAACUACGUGCCAGCAGCCGCGGUAAUACGUAGGGUGCAAGCGUUAAUCGGAAUUACUGGGCGUAAAGCGUGCGCAGGCGGUUUGCUAAGACCGAUGUGAAAUCCCCGGGCUCAACCUGGGAACUGCAUUGGUGACUGGCAGGCUAGAGUAUGGCAGAGGGGGGUAGAAUUCCACGUGUAGCAGUGAAAUGCGUAGAGAUGUGGAGGAAUACCGAUGGCGAAGGCAGCCCCCUGGGCCAAUACUGACGCUCAUGCACGAAAGCGUGGGGAGCAAACAGGAUUAGAUACCCUGGUAGUCCACGCCCUAAACGAUGUCAACUAGUUGUUGGGGAUUCAUUUCCUUAGUAACGUAGCUAACGCGUUAAAUCGACCGCCUGGGGAGUACGGCCGCAAGGUUAAAACUUAAAGGAAUUGACGGGGUCAUAGCU
Molecule: ribosomal RNA, 578 nt
Filed under: uncultured bacterium
Lineage: Bacteria
Description: partial 16S ribosomal RNA
Rfam family: Bacterial small subunit ribosomal RNA
Source: RNAcentral